AAGUCGUAACAAGGUUUCCGUAGGUGAACCUGCGGAAGGAUCAUUAAAGUUUGCUUAAUUGCAUCACACAUGUUUUUAUAGAGAACUUGCUUGCAAGAACACUAAUAAUUUACUGAGUCAACAUGAAAAAAUAUCAAAA
Molecule: unclassified non-coding RNA, 139 nt
Filed under: plant metagenome
Description: partial contains small subunit ribosomal RNA and internal transcribed spacer 1
Rfam family: Eukaryotic small subunit ribosomal RNA (bases 1-46)
Source: RNAcentral